Unclassified non-coding RNA from Rhinopithecus bieti (black snub-nosed monkey), 248 nucleotides. It matches the Rfam family "Metazoan signal recognition particle RNA". From Rfam's summary of the family: The signal recognition particle (SRP) is a universally conserved ribonucleoprotein. It is involved in the co-translational targeting of proteins to membranes. The eukaryotic SRP consists of a 300-nucleotide 7S RNA and six proteins: SRPs 72, 68, 54, 19, 14, and 9. The record is from Ensembl. NCBI's taxonomy places the organism in Eukaryota, Metazoa, Chordata, Mammalia, Primates, Cercopithecidae.
GCCAAGUGCACUGGUGUGUGCCUAUAGUCCCAGCUAUAGCCCAGGAAUUCUGGGCUAUAGUGCAAUACGCCGAUCGGGUGUUCGCACUAAGUGCGGCAUCGAUAUGGUGACCUCCUGGGGGUGUGGGAGCAUCAGGUUGCCUAAGGAGGGGUGAAUAUAUGGAACAGGUAAGAACUCCCGUGCUGAUCAGGAGUGGGAUUGCAUCUGUGAAUAGCCAUUGCACUCCAGCCUGGGCAACAUAGAAAGAU